This 205-nucleotide ribosomal RNA is filed under the name uncultured bacterium. RNAcentral describes it as "partial 16S ribosomal RNA". It matches the Rfam family "Bacterial small subunit ribosomal RNA", at positions 568 to 774 of the family's 1533-position model. The record is from RNAcentral.
UUUGUAGGUGGCUUGUUAAGUCAGACGUGAAAUCCCUCAGCUUAACUGGGGAACUGCGUCUGAUACUGGCGAGCUUGAGUGCAGGAGAGGAACGCGGAAUUCCAGGUGUAGCGGUGAAAUGCGUAGAUAUCUGGAGGAACACCGGUGGCGAAGGCGGCGUUCUGGACUGCAACUGACACUGAUAAACAAAGCCAGGUAGCAAACG